GAUAAAGAACGUAGCGAAAUGCGCUAAGUAAUGUGAAUUGCAGAAUUCAGUGAAUCAUCGAAUCUUUGAACGCACAUUGCGCCCGCCAGUAUUCUGGCGGGCAUGCCUGUUCGAGCGUCAUUUCAACCAUCAAGCCCCAGGCUUGUGUUGGGGACCUGCGGCUGCCGCAGGCCCUGAAAACCAGUGGCGGGCUCGCUGUCACACCGGGCGUAGUAGAUUUUAUCUCGCUCUGGGCGUGCUGCGGGUUCCGGCCGUUAAAAAACCCUUUUAACCCAAGGUUGACCUCGGAUCAGGUAGGAAUACCCGCUGAACUUAAGCAUAUCAAUAAGCGGAGGA
RNAcentral lists this unclassified non-coding RNA (336 nucleotides) under soil metagenome. RNAcentral's name for it is "partial contains 5.8S ribosomal RNA, internal transcribed spacer 2, and large subunit ribosomal RNA". The stretch from base 1 to 120 matches the Rfam family "5.8S ribosomal RNA", at positions 35 to 154 of the family's 154-position model. The record is from RNAcentral.